This 120-nucleotide ribosomal RNA is filed under the name Petromyzon marinus (sea lamprey). Lineage: Eukaryota; Metazoa; Chordata; Hyperoartia; Petromyzontiformes; Petromyzontidae. The record is from RNAcentral.
GCCUACGACCAUAUCACCCUGAAUGCGCCCGAUCUCGUCUGAUCUCGGAAGCUAAGCAGUGGUCGAGCCUGGUUAGUACUUGGAUGGGAGACCGCCUGCGAAUACCAGGUGUUGUAGGCU